RNAcentral lists this ribosomal RNA (301 nucleotides) under uncultured bacterium. RNAcentral describes it as "partial 16S ribosomal RNA". It matches the Rfam family "Bacterial small subunit ribosomal RNA", at positions 509 to 807 of the family's 1533-position model. The record is from RNAcentral.
CAGCAGCCACGGUAAUACGAAGGGUGCAAGCGUUAAUCGGAAUUACUGGGCGUAAAGCGUGCGCAGGUGGUGGUUUAAGUCCGUUGUGAAAGCCCUGGGCUCAACCUGGGAAUUGCAGUGGAUACUGGGUCACUAGAGUGUGGUAGAGGAUAGUGGAAUUUCCGGUGUAGCAGUGAAAUGCGUAGAGAUCGGAAGGAACAUCUGUGGCGAAGGCGACUAUCUGGGCCAACACUGACACUGAGGCACGAAAGCGUGGGGAGCAAACAGGAUUAGAUACCCCAGUAGUCCCUGUCUCUUAUAC